GAUUAGCUCAGUCGGUAGAGCACUCGGCUGUUAACCGAUAGGUCGUAGGUUCGAGUCCUAC
RNAcentral lists this transfer RNA (61 nucleotides) under bovine gut metagenome. It matches the Rfam family "tRNA", at positions 8 to 63 of the family's 71-position model. Rfam says of the family: Transfer RNA (tRNA) molecules are approximately 80 nucleotides in length. The record is from RNAcentral.